UUUCAUAAACUAGAACCACAUCAGUUAAUCAUAGCAAUAUAAUUGUGCAGUGUAAAAGGGCCUCAGACCACACAUCAGUCUAGUCCCACAUCUUCUUUCUGUGCCCAGCCAGAUGCCUCCAGGAAAUUUACAAAGAAGACAGGAAGCAACAACAAUCCUUGACUGCAACUGGUGAUCUGAGAUAAUCACCUUUCAGAUAUGGCAUGCCACACGCUGAAUCAAUGGCACAUUGAAAAGCAAGGGAUAUGGAGAAGAGGACCCUAGCUUGACAGAGGCAGAGAACCACGGUUCAGCUUCAAGGCUGAUAGAAAAGAUUACAGCAAUGACUCAACAAUGGUCUCAUUGACAAGUGCAAAGUUCAAACUUGUGUUUGGGCUGUGCCCUUCAUAGUCCAGGUAGGAGCUAAUGCAAUCAAAUGGCUCCCUAUACCAAAAAACAAGACAAAACAAAAAUAAAAUUUAA
This is a long non-coding RNA of Sceloporus undulatus (fence lizard), 462 nucleotides long. RefSeq lists it as uncharacterized. NCBI's taxonomy places the organism in Eukaryota, Metazoa, Chordata, Lepidosauria, Squamata, Phrynosomatidae. The record is from RefSeq and is a predicted model, not a curated record. The transcript has 3 exons.